CCUGACUUUGCCUCUUGGAAAGCUCUAGGUUGCAGCCCACCGCUGCCUUCCAAGCAUUCUUUAAACUAGCAAUGUGGGAGGGACUCCAGGAGAGAGGGAGAGAGAGAUGGCUAUCAACUGAAUUCAUUACUGUAAACAUCUCCCUGGGGUGUCAGGCAGGGAAGGGGGAAGAGAGAGAGAGAAAAAAGCACGACUUACAUUAGCAGGGAAUAGUCAGAUCUGGGGCAGCAUAACGGCUAAGAUCAGCCUGCAAGCCCAGCUGAAAGCAAGCCCAAGACUAGGAGAGAGAAGGAGACCGACAGACACGCGACUAUUCACACAUAUGUGUCUGGUCCCUCCUGAGACUUACGGGGUCCUGGGUCUGUGUGGCUCCUCCUCAUGUGAUCCACUCAGCGUCGCCAGCGGAGAAAACGACCAGGCUUGAUCGGGUUCCUUCGGCUUCUCCUUCCUUCCCUCCCUUUCUUUAUUUAUUUGGGGGCAGCGGGAGAAGCGCGGAGAGAACGCGUGCUGGGGAUGCCAGCGCCCUGGACUGCGCGUUGGAGGAGGAGGUGGAGGAGAAAGGGGGAGGAUGAUGCCGCUGCCUCCUAAGGGAGGAAGGAGAGAGAAGGGGAACGGAGCGCUCCGGAGAGGAGGCGCAGGCAAGCGCCAGCCUGCGGGGAAGCAGAGCCUGCAGGGCGGGCUCGGGCUCGGGCAGCUUUUCCCCCGCACCACAUUGGAUACUGCCAAAGGCGACCGGCACGGCCACCACCAAGGAGAAGCGCCGUCAGCUGCAGCAAAAGUUUUGGUGUGGGGGGCAAAAGGCGCAGAGGGGGAUUAUGAUCGGUGCCGGAGAAGGACUCCCAGCCCUGCCAGGUUUCUCAGAUCCAUCAUCAAGCUGAAAUGAAGACCUUGGAAGCUGAAGAAAGCUGAGUGCACCACUACCUGGCUUCAGAGAAAGGAACUACUGGUCCAGCCAACCUUUCUCCGGACGACUUUUGGUAGCUUUAAAUUGCCAGUAGCCUACCUUGAAAGACACAGCUAUUGCUUCUUUCAGCACACAUGGAGGAAGGCAGCAAAGUGUGUAACCCUGGCUAAUCAGACUGUGGCUUUCCUAUGAAGAGUAGAAGGCAGACCAAUCAUAAAAGGAUUAUUUCACAGUUAGCCUCCAGGACUUUACCUCUGACCUGAUCACUGGACACAAAUUCAAGCCAAUUCCAACAACCUGAGUUUUCACUACCUGUUCUUUAUCAUUGUUUUAAUUUUUCUUUCUUUGGUAU
This 1256-nucleotide long non-coding RNA is filed under the name Gopherus agassizii (Agassiz's desert tortoise). RNAcentral's name for it is "lncRNA (ENSGAGG00000018147.1)". Lineage: Eukaryota; Metazoa; Chordata; Testudines; Testudinidae. The record is from RNAcentral.